UCCGUUAUGGUGUAGUGGCUAACAUUAUCGCCUCUCAUCCAAUGAUGACGUGAGAGAGUACGCGAUAGCCCAGGGUUCGAUUCCCUGUAACGGAA
Molecule: non-coding RNA, 95 nt
Organism: Marasmius tenuissimus
Lineage: Eukaryota; Fungi; Basidiomycota; Agaricomycetes; Agaricales; Marasmiaceae
Source: the annotation of a GenBank genome assembly